AUCAUCAGUAGUGGUUAAUACUUACUCGUAUUAAUUACAAUUACUUUUAUAGAAACCUACGACCCUUCCACUUGGACUUUUCCGUUUGGAUUUUUCCAUCUUCUGGAUUUCCCAGUCGAUGGGGAUUUUCGGACUAGUUAAUACUGGAGCUCGAGUGGUUGGUUCCGACAAUAACCCAUAGCUGAACGGUUUUUGACCACCUCCAAACAAGGUGGGCACAAGCUCCGUUUCGUUUCCGGUUUCUUAGAUUAUAGUCUUCUAUGAGGGGAUCAUCUGUAAAGUUUUGGGCUUAGGCCCUAGCAGGUGGAGUUGCUCGAUUGCAGAGAGCUGUAUAAUGCAGCUUGAGAGUUUGAAAUCGGGCCUCCCUUCAUGGAAGUACAUUC
The sequence is a small nucleolar RNA, 383 nucleotides long. It matches the Rfam family "Small nucleolar RNA snR37".